This 202-nucleotide ribosomal RNA is filed under the name Salmonella enterica subsp. enterica serovar Newport. RNAcentral describes it as "partial 23S ribosomal RNA". It matches the Rfam family "Bacterial large subunit ribosomal RNA", at positions 1 to 194 of the family's 2925-position model. Lineage: Bacteria; Pseudomonadati; Pseudomonadota; Gammaproteobacteria; Enterobacterales; Enterobacteriaceae. RNAcentral also lists the same sequence under 1 other name. The record is from RNAcentral.
GGGUUGUGAGGUUAAGCGACUAAGCGUACACGGUGGAUGCCCUGGCAGUCAGAGGCGAUGAAGGACGUGCUAAUCUGCGAUAAGCGCCGGUAAGGUGAUAUGAACCGUUAUAACCGGCGAUUUCCGAAUGGGGAAACCCAGUGUGACUCGUCACACUAUCAUUAACUGAAUCCAUAGGUUAAUGAGGCGAACCGGGGGAACU